Triplophysa rosa is the source of this 308-nucleotide long non-coding RNA. RefSeq lists it as uncharacterized. NCBI's taxonomy places the organism in Eukaryota, Metazoa, Chordata, Actinopteri, Cypriniformes, Nemacheilidae. The transcript has 4 exons. The record is from RefSeq and is a predicted model, not a curated record.
UUUGUGUUUCACAGUAUGCUCUCAGCAUCUGCACAUCAUGUCCCUUAACAUUCACAGAGGAGGAGGUGCCAUUGAUUCGCCAGUGGUGGUGCAUUAACCUCAUGGAAAGAUUUUGCCUAGAAGGGCAUGGACAGAGGUUUGCAUACUGGACCGAAGAAGCAUCCCAACUCCUUCAGGGGAUCGUUGAGCCUGUGUUUAGGGUGUCGAAAUUCACCACCACCAAACUGUCACCCAGCAGAAGAGUUGUGGAUGACAAGGACAUUGAUAAGGUGCAGCAGCCAACCAUUGUCCGAGACCUAAAUACAGCG